GAUAAUUCAAGGGAAUUCGUGAGCACUCCCACAUUACACUCACCACCUUUUCGCAGCGACACCGACAUAUGCCACAUUUUCAUUUUACCUUUUUUUUCUUGCAAAAGAUCGUUAAUUAAAGAACUGGAUUUAAGAUUAAUCUCUACAUAUAUACAUAUUUACGGAUAUGUACGUUUUUUUUGAACAACAAGUGCUUAUGCUAAAAUUAAACGCACAUGAGUUAAGUCAGUUAAAUCCAAAGAGACACUAAAUUGAUAAACUAACAUAACUAAAACAUAAAUAUACAUAUUCAUUCUCGUAAAAUAUACUCAAUAUUACAGAGAUAUAUGUGCCAGCUGUUUAGAUACAUACAUAUGCAUGAAUAAUAAAACCCACAGAUUACAAAUCUUUUUUUUUUUUUUUUUGAAACUAACAGAUUACAAAUCUUGGUCGUUGGAACCAAGACACAUACCAUCAUACUUCGAGGAGUGACGAGAAUAUAUAAUUCUUAAGCUGAUUUUAGGAUAUAGUUCGUAUCCUACCUUUCCUCUGUCUAUCGGCUUUGUUUCACCGUAAGAGGUAAAUAACCAAACUGAAUUUGAAAAAAUAUAUACAAUGGAUUAUAUAUUUAUAACAGAGUAAAACUUUAAUAUUUUGCAUAGAGAGACAUACGCACAGCUAUAUAUAAAUGGCAAAGACCAGACAAAGCUGAAAAGAUAGCAUCACGCUCGUACUCUUUUAAUACUAAAUUUAAUUUCCACGUAUAUAUUGUACUAAUUAAUUAAUACUCUAAGUCAGUGGACUCUCCUUUCCAGCCAUCUAACCCUACCCGUCCGAUCGAUCAAAUCUUCUCUAUUCUAUGUAUUUUUUAUUUCUACCGUUGGAUUUGUGAAAUUUCCUUUCACAAGCAUGAUUUAAGAAUGGGCAACGUCCCUAUAAAUGUUUUAUUUGUACGCAGCUUGACUACAUACAUAGUUUGUAAAAUCAUCUUUAAUAUUUUUUCAGUUUUUUUUUUAUUUUAGUACAAAUACUACGAUUCUUCUAAAUAUAGUAAAAAUAUUAAUUUAUAUGUUAGAAAAAAAUAGAAGUAAGUCGAAAUAUAUU
Molecule: long non-coding RNA, 1083 nt
Filed under: Brassica rapa (field mustard)
Lineage: Eukaryota; Viridiplantae; Streptophyta; Magnoliopsida; Brassicales; Brassicaceae
Description: long non-coding RNA (BRAP_LNC001997)
Source: RNAcentral